RNAcentral lists this ribosomal RNA (556 nucleotides) under Bifidobacterium breve. RNAcentral's name for it is "bacterial SSU rRNA". It matches the Rfam family "Bacterial small subunit ribosomal RNA", at positions 146 to 711 of the family's 1533-position model. The record is from RNAcentral. Lineage: Bacteria; Bacillati; Actinomycetota; Actinomycetes; Bifidobacteriales; Bifidobacteriaceae.
UCUCCUGGAAACGGGUGGUAAUGCCGGAUGCUCCAGUUCACCGCAUGGUCUGUUGGGAAAGCCUUUGCGGCAUGGGAUGGGGUCGCGUCCUAUCAGCUUGAUGGCGGGGUAACGGCCCACCAUGGCUUCGACGGGUAGCCGGCCUGAGAGGGCGACCGGCCACAUUGGGACUGAGAUACGGCCCAGACUCCUACGGGAGGCAGCAGUGGGGAAUAUUGCACAAUGGGCGCAAGCCUGAUGCAGCGACGCCGCGUGAGGGAUGGAGGCCUUCGGGUUGUAAACCUCUUUUGUUAGGGAGCAAGGCAUUUUGUGUUGAGUGUACCUUUCGAAUAAGCACCGGCUAACUACGUGCCAGCAGCCGCGGUAAUACGUAGGGUGCAAGCGUUAUCCGGAAUUAUUGGGCGUAAAGGGCUCGUAGGCGGUUCGUCGCGUCCGGUGUGAAAGUCCAUCGCUUAACGGUGGAUCCGCGCCGGGUACGGGCGGGCUUGAGUGCGGUAGGGGAGACUGGAAUUCCCGGUGUAACGGUGGAAUGUGUAGAUAUCGGGAAAGAACACCA